Molecule: RNase P RNA, 406 nt
Filed under: Halonotius sp. J07HN4
Lineage: Archaea; Methanobacteriati; Methanobacteriota; Halobacteria; Halobacteriales; Haloferacaceae
Rfam family: Archaeal RNase P
About the family: Ribonuclease P (RNase P) is a ubiquitous endoribonuclease, found in archaea, bacteria and eukarya as well as chloroplasts and mitochondria. Its best characterised activity is the generation of mature 5'-ends of tRNAs by cleaving the 5'-leader elements of precursor-tRNAs.
Source: RNAcentral
GGUAGAGAGAGCCCGAUCCCCGUGGGAUCGGUGUUGGCGGGCAUCCGGUGCCGGCGGACAUCCGACCCAUGAGGAAAGUCCCCCCACCGUUCGGACAGGUGACCGGGCACAAGCCCGGAGUCGGAGACGGCUGGCGCUGGAACAGCAACGAGACCCCCUGUCCCAACCGAUGAUGUGUGCGAACCAACCCGUAAGGGAAGGGAGAUAACCCACAGAGGGUGUGGUGCCAUACACCACAAAACGGGCAGGAACGGAUGGAACGGCGAAUCCUCACCGGUGCAAGGUCGCGUCAGGCGGGCGGUCGUCUGCGCCGUGUAGCCGGCUGACCGCCGAGGUAGUCCGAACACGACGUGGCCGCUCAGCCGAAUGUCGGGUCGAAACAGAAGGGGGCUUACUCCUCUCAACC